Molecule: long non-coding RNA, 1115 nt
Filed under: Phascolarctos cinereus (koala)
Lineage: Eukaryota; Metazoa; Chordata; Mammalia; Diprotodontia; Phascolarctidae
Description: lncRNA (ENSPCIG00000025705.2)
Source: RNAcentral
CCCUUGUUCCCCACCCCCCAGUUCCCCGCACCUAACAUUCACACUCACGCCCCCGGGGGUGCGGCCGCCACGUGGGAGAGAGGCGCGGGGGUGGCCUGGGAACCGCACCCCGCUUUUCUCUCCCCACUCUCUGCGUGGGCCCUGCUAGCCACAGGCAGUGGCGACCCCCAAGAUAGACCCACGGCCAUGAGCAACGAACCCGGGAGAGUGCAGAUAACUCUUUCUGGGCAAGGCAGGAGAAGGAGGCUCAGAGUCUCUUCCUCGGUUCCCCUGUCCAGGGGAUCAGGGCUGGCUCUGGGAGGCGCUCAGGUUCCCCCUGAAGCUGCUCAGCCCCGCGGCUCCUCCUCUCGGAGAGGCCGUUGCUCUGCUCCGGGACUGGUCCUCCCCAUGCAUCUCUAGUCCCUGCAGUACAGAGCUGAGAGGUAGAACCGCGGUCCGGUUCCUGAGCCCCCGGCACGGGAUCCGGGCUCGUUGUGGACUCGGCUCGGCUUUACUUAUCCCCGCCCUGACCCGCGCUCUCCUUUCCUGAGGGCCCACCCAUCUCGAUCCUCGGCCACUCCGGUUCCGAUCUGGGGCCUUCUGGCUCCCCGGAAAAGGCGAGGCAGGCAGACGGGGAGGGUGCAAAACGCAAAGUGCUGGAGCUAUGUGCCAGACAGAGCCAGAACCGGGGUUUCCAGGCCCGGCCAAGCUGGGCUGGGGCUCGAUCUCUUCCGUCUCUCGACUAAGUCAGCCCCACCGCUGCAGCCCAGGCUGUCAGAUGGCUGUGCUCCUGAGGCCCUGCCCUUUUGAUGCUAUGAGGCAGGACCCUCCUGUUGGGGGGACAUUACGGGGAAGAAGGAAGGAUCCCAGAGCAGCAAUGACAGCCUGGAAUUAUUGCCAGAUACAUGGCCCCCAUUACAUCUCUGCCUAGAAAACAGAACCUUUUUUUUUUUGUUGAAGGAGCUGUUCCUUCAUGAAAUCUUCCCUGAUAACCUUGGUCUAUGCAUUUUUUCUCAGGGAGUGGCAUGCUAGCAAAAGUUUAACAACAGGCUCUCUGAAAACACAUGCUUUAAAAUUUAAUCUGAAUUGUAUACACUUUCUCCAUCACUCCCUGAAGUCCGGACAAUCAAUAAAAC